RNAcentral lists this ribosomal RNA (252 nucleotides) under uncultured bacterium. Its description in RNAcentral is "partial 16S ribosomal RNA". It matches the Rfam family "Bacterial small subunit ribosomal RNA", at positions 524 to 776 of the family's 1533-position model. The record is from RNAcentral.
UACGGAGGGUGCAAGCGUUAUCCGGAUUCACUGGGUUUAAAGGGUGCGUAGGUGGAGUGGUAAGUCAGUGGUGAAAUCUCCAAGCUUAACUUGGAACUGCCGUGAUUACUAUCAUUCUUGAAUAUCGUGGAGGUAAGCGGAAUAUGUCAUGUAGCGGUGAAAUGCUUAGAUAUGACAUAGAACACCGAUUGCGAAGGCAGCUUACUACACGAUCAUUGACACUGAGGCACGAAAGCGUGGGGAUCAAACAGG